GACGAACGCUGGCGGCGUGCUUAACACAUGCAAGUCGAACGGAAAGGCCCUGCUUGCAGGGUACUCGAGUGGCGAACGGGUGAGUAACACGUGGGUGAUCUGCCCUGCACUUCGGGAUAAGCCUGGGAAACUGGGUCUAAUACCGGAUAUGACCUUCCAUGUAGUGUGGGGGGUGGAAAGAUUUAUCGGUGUGGGAUGAGCCCGCGGCCUAUCAGCUUGUUGGUGGGGUAAUGGCCUACCAAGGCGUCGACGGGUAGCCGGCCUGAGAGGGUGGACGGCCACAUUGGGACUGAGAUACGGCCCAGACUCCUACGGGAGGCAGCAGUGGGGAAUAUUGCACAAUGGGAGGAAGCCUUAUGCAGCGACGCCGCGUGGGGGAUGACGGCCUUCGGGUUGUAAACCUCUUUCGACAGGGACGAAGCUUCGGUGACGGUACCUGUAGAAGAAGCACCGGCUAACUACGUG
This 465-nucleotide ribosomal RNA is filed under the name uncultured bacterium. RNAcentral's name for it is "partial 16S ribosomal RNA". It matches the Rfam family "Bacterial small subunit ribosomal RNA", at positions 28 to 507 of the family's 1533-position model. The record is from RNAcentral.